GUUAACUCUCUUUGCAAUGAAUUGUGUUUUGCUUUGCUUCUGCUUGCUUUUUAUGCAGCUAAGCCACGCACGUCAUCAUGGUCAUCAUUCCAAAAGGGUUACAGCUGUUGUGGAAUUUGAUGGCCAGCGUAAAGUUAUAGAUAUGAGUUGAGGCUAGCUGGCGCUUUAAACCAAUUUGCAAAGCGUUAACAACUUAAUAAAGAAAAAAACGACUGCGUAAAAUUAAUUUUUUGAUUUACAUG
This is a long non-coding RNA of Drosophila busckii, 242 nucleotides long. RefSeq lists it as uncharacterized. The record is from RefSeq and is a predicted model, not a curated record. NCBI's taxonomy places the organism in Eukaryota, Metazoa, Arthropoda, Insecta, Diptera, Drosophilidae. The transcript is spliced from 3 exons.